Molecule: transfer RNA, 74 nt
Filed under: Scytonema sp. HK-05
Lineage: Bacteria; Bacillati; Cyanobacteriota; Cyanophyceae; Nostocales; Scytonemataceae
Also listed under: 1 other name
Description: tRNA-His
Rfam family: tRNA
About the family: Transfer RNA (tRNA) molecules are approximately 80 nucleotides in length. Their secondary structure includes four short double-helical elements and three loops (D, anti-codon, and T loops).
Source: RNAcentral
GCGAGCGUAGCCAAGCGGUUAAGGCAGAGGUUUGUGGUACCUCCACUGGUGGGUUCGACUCCCAUCGUUCGCCC